UUUUUUUUUGAGGGCGGAGACAGUCUCACUGUGUAGCUCAGGCCAGUGUAGUGCAUGCUGGUGCUGAAUGUGUGCUCCUCCCACCCGGCCCUCAUGAGUUCUGGAGCUAUGAGCAUGUGCUACCACUGCUGCUGGUGGUAAGAAGGAACACCCUAAAUUUGGACCCUGACCCUUGGAAUCUCCUAAGUGAGAGUCCUGGAGAACCCAACAGAACAAUCUCCAGAAAGGCCACGCCUUGAUCAGAAGCGUAGAAGUUUUAGCCAUCCCCUACCUCUGGGGAAGAGAAGCCGGAAAUGGAUUACUAACUAAUAACCAGUGAUUUAAUCAACUGCACUUACAUGACAUCGGUGUCAAUUUCCUCUGAGGAUCAGAUGCAAAGGUUUUGGGUUGGUGCAUAUCCUGGGGCAUUAGGAGCAUGGUGUGUCUAGAGCAGCCCUGCAAACUCCACAUCCCACCCAUACCUUUCUCCCUCCCAUUUGACUCUUCUUGUGUCCAUUAUAAAAAGUGGUUGAAUGUAAAUAAAGUGUUUUCUUAA
Cavia porcellus (domestic guinea pig) is the source of this 535-nucleotide long non-coding RNA. RefSeq lists it as uncharacterized. NCBI's taxonomy places the organism in Eukaryota, Metazoa, Chordata, Mammalia, Rodentia, Caviidae. The record is from RefSeq and is a predicted model, not a curated record. The transcript is spliced from 2 exons.